AACACAUGCAAGUCGAACGAGGUCCAAUCCUUCGGGAGAAGACCUAGUGGCGAACGGGUGCGUAACACGUGACCAACUUGUCCCGGUCUCUGGGAUAACAGUUGGAAACGACUGCUAAUACCGGAUGACGUCGGAGCGUCGCAUGGCGCGCUGUCGAAAGGGUUACCGGAUCGGGAGAGCCUCGCGGCCUAUCAGCUUGUUGGUGGGGUAACGGCCUACCAAGGCAUCGACGGGUAGCUGGUCUGAGAGGAUGAUCAGCCACACUGGGACUGAGACACGGCCCAGACUCCUACGGGAGGCAGCAGUGGGGAAUCUUGCGCAAUGGGCGAAAGCCUGACGCAGCAACGCCGCGUGCGGGAAGAAGGCUCUCGGGUUGUAAACCGCUUUCAGAAGGAACGAAAAUGACGGUACUUUCAGAAGAAGUGACGUACUUUCAGAAGAA
RNAcentral lists this ribosomal RNA (442 nucleotides) under grassland soil clone sl1_012. Its description in RNAcentral is "bacterial SSU rRNA". It matches the Rfam family "Bacterial small subunit ribosomal RNA", at positions 50 to 516 of the family's 1533-position model. The record is from RNAcentral.